Molecule: ribosomal RNA, 494 nt
Filed under: uncultured bacterium
Lineage: Bacteria
Description: bacterial SSU rRNA
Rfam family: Bacterial small subunit ribosomal RNA
Source: RNAcentral
GAUGAACGCUAGCGGCAGGCCUAAUACAUGCAAGACGAACGGUAAGUUUGAUAGCAAUAUUGAACCUAGAGUGUCGUAAGGGUGCGUAACACGUAUGCAAUCUACCCUCAACAGGAGGAUAGCUCCCCGAAAGGGGAAUUAACACUCCAUAAGAUCACAGGAUGGUAUCAUUCAGUGAUUAAAAACUCCGGUGGUUGAGGAUGAGCAUGCGCAUGAUUAGUUAGUUGGCGGGGUAAUGGCCCACCAAGACGAUGAUCAUUAGGGGAACUGAGAGGUUGAUCCCCCACACUGGUACUGAGACACGGACCAGACUCCUACGGGAGGCAGCAGUGAGGAAUAUUGGUCAAUGGGCGCAAGCCUGAACCAGCCAUCCCGCGUGAAGGAAGAAGGCGCUAUGCGUCGUAAACUUCUUUUCCGAGGGGGAGUAAUUUUCCGGUCGUGACCGGAAUUGACGGUACUCGUGGGAAUAAGCAAUCGGCUAACUCCGUGCCAGC